This 254-nucleotide ribosomal RNA is filed under the name uncultured bacterium. Its description in RNAcentral is "partial 16S ribosomal RNA". It matches the Rfam family "Bacterial small subunit ribosomal RNA", at positions 524 to 776 of the family's 1533-position model. The record is from RNAcentral.
GACGUAGGGUCCAAGCGUUGUCCGGAUUUACUGGGCGUAAAGAGCGCGUAGGCGGCUCGGUAAGUGUGAAGUGAAAUCUCUAGGGCUCAACCCAGAAACUGCUUUACAUACUGCCAAGCUGGAGUGAUGAAGAGGUUUGUGGAAUUCCUGGUGUAGCGGUGAAAUGCGCAGAUAUCAGGAGGAACACCGGUGGCGAAGGCGGGUCUCUGGGCCGAUAUUGACGCUGAGGAGCGAAAGCGUGGGGAGCGAACAGG